This 457-nucleotide ribosomal RNA is filed under the name uncultured bacterium. RNAcentral describes it as "bacterial SSU rRNA". It matches the Rfam family "Bacterial small subunit ribosomal RNA", at positions 28 to 520 of the family's 1533-position model. The record is from RNAcentral.
GAUUAACGCUGGCGGUGUGUAUAAUACAUGCAAGUCGAGCGUCCCGAUUUAUCGGGAAGCGGCGGACGAGUGAGUAACGUGUUGGAACCUGCCCUAAACUCAGGGAUAGCCCACUGAAAGGUGGAUUAAUACCGGAUGGUUCCCGACUAAAGUCGGGAUAAAGCUUCGGCGGUUUAGGAGGGGCCUGCAUAGUAUCAGCUUGUUGGUGGGGUAAUGGCCUACCAAGGCUAUGACGCUUAACUGGUCUGAGAGGACGACCAGUCACGAUGGGACUGAGACACGGCCCAUACUCCUACGGGAGGCAGCAGUAAAGAAUCUUCCGCAAUGGGCGAAAGCCUGACGGAGCAACACCGCGUGGUCGAUGAAGCCUUUUGGAGUGUAAAGACCUUUUCUGAAGGAAUAAUUUUGAAGGUACUUCAGGAAUAAGCACCGGCUAACUCCGUGCCAGCAGCCGCGG